CCUACGGGAGGCAGCAGUGAGGAAUAUUGGUCAAUGGGCGUAAGCCUGAACCAGCCAAGUAGCGUGAAGGAUGAAUGCCCUAUGGGUUGUAAACUUCUUUUAUAAGGGAAUAAAGUGAGGCACGUGUGCAUUUUUGCAUGUACCCUAUGAAUAAGGAUCGGCUAACUCCGUGCCAGCAGCCGCGGUAAUACGGAGGAUCCGAGCGUUCUCCGGAUUUAUUGGGUUUAAAGGGUGCGUAGAUGGGUUGUUAAGUCAGUUGUGAAAGUUUGUGGCUCAACCGUAAAAUUGCAGUUGAUACUGGCAGUCUGGAGUGCGGUUGAGGUAGGCGGAAUGCGUGGUGUAGCGGUGAAAUGCUUAGAUAUCACGCAGAACUCCGAUUGCGAAGGCAGCUUACUAAGCUGUAACUGACACUGAAGCACGAAAGCGUGGGUAUCAAACAGGAUUAGAUACCCCUGUAGUC
This 460-nucleotide ribosomal RNA is filed under the name uncultured bacterium. RNAcentral's name for it is "partial 16S ribosomal RNA". It matches the Rfam family "Bacterial small subunit ribosomal RNA", at positions 338 to 795 of the family's 1533-position model. The record is from RNAcentral.